CCCGACUGCUAUUUGGGUGAGGAUAAGCCAUGCGAGUUGUAUGGGAUACCUAAAUUUCCCAUGGCAAACUGCUUAGUAACACAUGAUCAACUUACCCUAUGGAGAAAAAUAACCUCGGGAAACUGAGGAUAAUGUUUCAUAGGUGAAUAGGCUUGGAAAAGUUUUUCAUCGAAAAGGAUAAGAAAAAUGGUUUUUAUCUGCCAUAGGAUAGGAUCGUGGUCGAUUAUGGUUGUUGGUGAGGUAACGGCUCACCAAGCCGACAAUCGAUAGGGGCCGUGAGAGCGGGAGCCCCAAGAUGGGUACUGAGACAGCGACCCAGGCCUUACGAGGCGCAGCAGGCGCGGAACCUCCGCAAUACACGAAAGUGUGACGGGGUUACCCAAAGUGUUCUUUAAAGAACUGUGGUAGGUGAGUAAUAUCCCCUACUAGAAAGGAGAGGGCAAGGCUGGUGCCAGCCGCCGCGGUAAAACCAGCUCUUCAAGUGGUCGGGAUAAUUAUUGGGCUUAAAGUGUCCGUAGCCGGUUUAGUAAGUUCCUGGUAAAAUCGGGUAGCUUAACUAUCCGCAUGCUAGGAAUACUGCUAUACUAGAGGGCGGGAGAGGUCUGAGGUACUACAGGGGUAGGGGUGAAAUCUUAUAAUCCUUGUAGGACCACCAGUGGCGAAGGCGUCAGACUGGAACGCGCCUGACGGUGAGGGACGAAAGCCAGGGGAGCGAACCGGAUUAGAUACGUUGGUGUUAUUUGAAUGUAAUGUAAGAAUUACUAACACAAUGCUAAAAACCCGGGUAGUCCUGGCCGUAAACGAUGCAUACUAGGUGAUGAUACGGCCAUGAGCCGUGUCAGUGCCGUAGGGAAACCGUUAAGUGUGCCGCCUGGGAAGUACGGUCGCAAGGCUAAAAC
This 899-nucleotide ribosomal RNA is filed under the name uncultured archaeon. RNAcentral's name for it is "bacterial SSU rRNA". It matches the Rfam family "Archaeal small subunit ribosomal RNA", at positions 21 to 855 of the family's 1478-position model. The record is from RNAcentral.